CAUCCACUUACUUGUGAAACCUGGAGCGUACGACUGCCACUAAUUCCAGACAGAUCAGCAUUACUAGAGAAUACAUCAGUAAUGCCCAUUUCCAUGAACAAAUCUUUGACAUCAUAAGACCCACUAAUGGAAAUCCUUGAUUUGUAUUAUUGACUUCAUGGCAAGCUUUUCCACGGUGACAUUGUGUGACAACACAAAGACCAGCAAGGAAUGUACACAGGAGAAAUAAGAUGCAACAUCAAUUUCAAAAUAAAAUGUUGUGUGCCAGGUGUGACCUGCAAUGCCGUGAACCAGUAGCAGUCCCACCUUCCUGCUAAUCACAAUUUCAACUCUCCAACUAUGUCAUGAAACCACAUUAACUGGAUUCAUAGUGGUCAUUCCUCUACUGAACUAGAUCCUACUUCUUAAUUAUUUUUAAGGGGAAUAAAAUUCCAGAAUACUUAAAUAAUCAAAGAUGUGUGGUUUAC
Long non-coding RNA from Gallus gallus (chicken), 467 nucleotides. RefSeq lists it as uncharacterized. The record is from RefSeq and is a predicted model, not a curated record. NCBI's taxonomy places the organism in Eukaryota, Metazoa, Chordata, Aves, Galliformes, Phasianidae. The transcript is spliced from 3 exons.